Molecule: unclassified non-coding RNA, 1463 nt
Filed under: uncultured fungus
Lineage: Eukaryota; Fungi
Description: sequence contains 18S rRNA gene, ITS1, 5.8S rRNA gene, ITS2, 28S rRNA gene
Rfam family: Eukaryotic large subunit ribosomal RNA (bases 514-1463)
Source: RNAcentral
GGAAGGAUCAUUAACUGGCCUUGGGCCGCUCCCGGGAGUCAGUCGCUUGCGAUGAUGCUACCGGGAACGCUUAGCCCUUGACUAUCACCUUGACUAUGUGCACCUUUUGUUGUUUCCUCGGCAGGUCCCCUGCCGCCAGGAACCCCACAACCCUUUUGCAUUAGCAUCCAAACCUCUGAAAAUAAAACAAAUUAUUUACAACUUUUAACAAUGGAUCUCUUGGUUCUGGCAUCGAUGAAGAACGCAGCGAAAUGCGAUAAGUAGUGUGAAUUGCAGAAUUCAGUGAAUCAUCGAAUCUUUGAACGCACAUUGCGCCCCAUGGUAUUCCGUGGGGCAUGCCUGUUCGAGCGUCAUUUACCCCCUCAAGCUCUGCUUGGUGUUGGGCGUCUGUCCCGCUUCGCGCGCGGACUCGCCCCAAAGGUAUUGGCAGCGGUCGUGCCAGCUUCUCGCGCAGCACAUUGCGCUUCUCGAGGCACCGGCGGAUUCGCGUCCAUCAAGCCCACUUCCCCAUUUUGACCUCGGAUCAGGUAGGGAUACCCGCUGAACUUAAGCAUAUCAAUAAGCGGAGGAAAAGAAACCAACAGGGAUUGCCCUAGUAACGGCGAGUGAAGCGGCAACAGCUCAAAUUUGAAAUCUGGCCUCCUUUGGUGGUCCGAGUUGUAAUUUGCAGAGGGCGCUUUGGCGUCGGCAGCGGUCUAAGUUCCUUGGAACAGGACAUCACAGAGGGUGAGAAUCCCGUACGUGGUCGCCUGCCUUCGCCGUGUAAAGCCCCUUCGACGAGUCGAGUUGUUUGGGAAUGCAGCUCUAAAUGGGAGGUAAAUUUCUUCUAAAGCUAAAUACCGGCCAGAGACCGAUAGCGCACAAGUAGAGUGAUCGAAAGAUGAAAAGCACUUUGGAAAGAGAGUCAAACAGCACGUGAAAUUGUUAAAAGGGAAGCGCUUGCAGCCAGACUUGCUCGUAGUUGCUCAUCUGGGCUUUUGCCCAGAGCACUCUUCUGCGAGCAGGCCAGCAUCAGUUUGGGCGACCGGAUAAUGGCCUCUGUCAUGUAUCUUCCUUCGGGAUGACCUUAUAGGGGAGGCGUAAUGCGGCCAGCCCGGACUGAGGUCCGCGCAUCUGCUAGGAUGCUGGCGUAAUGGCUGUAAGCGGCCCGUCUUGAAACACGGACCAAGGAGUCUAACAUCUAUGCGAGUGUUUGGGUGUCAAGCCCGGGCGCGUAAUGAAAGUGAACGGAGGUGGGAACCCUCUUUUUGGGGGGUGCACCAUCGACCGAUCCUGAUGUCUUCGGAUGGAUUUGAGUAAGAGCAUAGCUGUUGGGACCCGAAAGAUGGUGAACUAUGCUUGAAUAGGGUGAAGCCAGAGGAAACUCUGGUGGAGGCUCGCAGCGGUUCUGACGUGCAAAUCGAUCGUCAAAUUUGGGCAUAGGGGCGAAAGACUAAUCGAACUAUCUAGUAGCUGGUUCCUGC